This is a long non-coding RNA of Seriola aureovittata, 324 nucleotides long. RefSeq lists it as uncharacterized. Lineage: Eukaryota; Metazoa; Chordata; Actinopteri; Carangiformes; Carangidae. The transcript has 5 exons. The record is from RefSeq and is a predicted model, not a curated record.
CAGUUUCCUCAAAGUCGCCAACAACAGGAUCACACACAGUCUGUGGAAAGGACGAUGCAGAUGAUCCAGAUGGUCUGACGUAUGCAGUCGUCGUCACAAAACCCAGAAGGGACAAAGACGCUGCAGACGCUGGUGAUAAUCUGAGUCUCUGCACCGAGACGAACCACAGCAGAGAACCACAGACUGGAAAUGAUGAGGAAGAGUUCUCACAUCAACCUGUUUAUUCCACUGUCACCAUACGUCAGACUUCUUCAGCUCUUCAACCUGAAUCAGGAUUAUCCAGAGCCACAGUGUCCCUGAACCACACAGCAGCCAAAGACCCAG